CCUACGGGGGGCAGCAGUGAGGGAUAUUGGUCAAUGGGGGAAACCCUGAACCAGCAACGCCGCGUGAGGGAAGACGGCUCUCGGAUUGUAAAACUCUGUCCUCUGUGAAGAUAAUGACGGUAGCAGAGGAGGAAGCUCCGGCUAACUACGUGCCAGCAGCCGCGGUAAUACGUAGGGAGCAAGCGUUGUCCGGAUUUACUGGGUGUAAAGGGUGCGUAGACGGGUCUGCAAGUCAGAAGUGAAAUCCAUGGGCUUAACCGGGGAAUUGCAUUUGAAACUGUAGGGCUUGAGUGAAGUAGAGGCAGGCGGAAUUCGCGGUGUAGCGGUGAAAUGCGUAGAGAGCGGGAGGAACACCAGUGGCGAAGGCGGCCUGCUGGGCUUUAACUGACGCUGAAGCACGAAAGCGUGGGUAGCAAACAGGAUUAGAUACCCUUGUAGUC
Molecule: ribosomal RNA, 440 nt
Filed under: uncultured bacterium
Lineage: Bacteria
Description: partial 16S ribosomal RNA
Rfam family: Bacterial small subunit ribosomal RNA
Source: RNAcentral